GAUGAACGCUGGCGGCGUGCUUAACACAUGCAAGUCGAACGGGAAAUAUUUCAUUGAGCCUUCGGUGGAUUUGAUUUAUUUCUAGUGGCGGACGGGUGAGUAACGCGUGGGUAACCUGCCUUAUACAGGGGGAUAACAGUCAGAAAUGGCUGCUAAUACCGCAUAAGCGCACAGAGCUGCAUGGCUCAGUGUGAAAAACUCCGGUGGUAUAAGAUGGACCCGCGUUGGAUUAGCUAGUUGGUGGGGUAACGGCCCACCAAGGCGACGAUCCAUAGCCGGCCAGAGAGGGUGAACGGCCACAUUGGGACUGGGACACGGCCCAGACUCCUACGGGAGGCAGCAGUGGGGAAUAUUGCACAAUGGGGGGAACCCUGAUGCAGCGACGCCGGGUGAAGGAAGAAGUAUCUCGGUAUGUAAACUUCUAUCAGCAGGGAAGAUAGUGACGGUACCUGAAUAAGAAGCCCCGGCUAACUACGUG
Molecule: ribosomal RNA, 478 nt
Filed under: uncultured bacterium
Lineage: Bacteria
Description: partial 16S ribosomal RNA
Rfam family: Bacterial small subunit ribosomal RNA
Source: RNAcentral